Molecule: long non-coding RNA, 644 nt
Organism: Vicugna pacos (alpaca)
Lineage: Eukaryota; Metazoa; Chordata; Mammalia; Artiodactyla; Camelidae
Source: RefSeq, a predicted model, not a curated record
AGAAGGAGAAAAAGAAUCCGUAUCUCUGGACCAAGGAAGAUUGGAAGAGGGAGACAGGGACUUUCUUCUCUACCUCAUCACCCUGAGCAUCAAGGAAAAUUAAAUAGAAAUAGCAAAAGUGCCUCCAAGUAAUUUAGAUUUGCGACCAUCCAAACUCACUGCUUUAGACAUCAUCUACUCCGGCUGCCGAUGAGGAAACCAAGGCCUAGCGAGAGAAAUGGACUCGCUCACGGUCACCCAACAAAUGAGCAGCUGACCUCAAGCCAGAACUGUGAUCUUCUGAACAGAACAAAACUGGACGCCUCCUAUGUCCCAGGGAGAACAGGAUGAAGAGACGGGAGGAGUGCCUGAAAGAUGCCAUUUCACAUCUAAUCGCUUCUUGUCACGUUGUAACCAUUUUCCUCAUAUGGAGCCCCACGCUGAUGGAUCAGAAAUAACAUUUUCAAAGUUAUAUCUGCAAGGAAAUGGCUAUUAAUGUUCUCCCUCUCCUUUUAGAGCACUGAGGAAUACAUAUUAAUUUUCUCUCUACUUAUAUUGCCUAUUUGCAAAUUGUAUUCACUACCCAGUGCUCCAAUUUGUCCUACCCCUGAAGAGAUUAUGAUGAAUAAAUGUGUUCCUGGAAAUAAAAUAAAAUAAAAUAAAAU